Rattus norvegicus (Norway rat) is the source of this 630-nucleotide long non-coding RNA. RefSeq annotates it as TBC1 domain family, member 22a like. The record is from RefSeq and is marked validated. Lineage: Eukaryota; Metazoa; Chordata; Mammalia; Rodentia; Muridae. The transcript has a single exon.
GUUUCAGGCUGUGCUUGACGCCAUGAAAAGGCGACGCUGGGAUGUGUGCGUGGCUGUUGCGCAGGAAAGAAUGCAGUCUUCGCGUUGCGUCUGUUCGAGCGGGACUGGGAGCGCUCAGGUCGACAGGCACGGUCUGAGGCCGCUGGAUCCCGGCCUCUGAGCCCACCGGGGCGAGUUGACCGCUAUGAAUUCCGGAGCCGCGUGCCUCUGAAGACCAAGUCGGCCUUAGUUUGUUCGCAGCCCACUAGCAAGUGCGGAGAACCAGAAGGAGCAAAAUACACAUCCGGACCCAGCUGCGAGCAAGCGGACGGGAAGGUGGAAAACCUCUCCCGCUGUAAUGUGGUCCAAGCCUCAUCGCCAGGGCAUUGACCACGGACCAGUAAACACAGCACAGUAAAGUGAAGGAAGCAACUACCGCCGGAGCAUAUGUGGGGCGAUGGUGCGGAUCCGCCCGGACUUCACCUGAAGAACGAAUAGGCACAGAGGCAUGAAGAAUUCAUCUUGCCGGCGCUCGCGUGCUUCUAAGUCCGCAGUAAAGUGUGCUUUAAUUGUAAGAUACAGGCAAGAUCCAAAAGCUUAAUAUGGAGAUGUUAAUUAUAAUUUCACAUUAAAUGAUAUUAUAUAUAUAUA